RNAcentral lists this long non-coding RNA (242 nucleotides) under Ananas comosus (pineapple). RNAcentral's name for it is "long non-coding RNA (ACOM_LNC019036)". Lineage: Eukaryota; Viridiplantae; Streptophyta; Magnoliopsida; Poales; Bromeliaceae. The record is from RNAcentral.
AUACUCAAGUGUUAUGUGUUUCUAAUUCUACGCCUAACAACUAUGUCCUACAAAUCUACCAAACACUAACUUCAAUAACGGCAUAAUAGUCAAAUAUUCGAAUGUUUUAUUUGUGUGAUAAACUGUGUGAGAAUAAAGUACUUUUUACAAAUAAAAUAAGAAACCUGGCAUGACUCUUAAUUUUAGAUUUCUGACUCUGAUAUUAUGUUAAAAGAUAUAUGAAGUUAUUCUCUAAAGUCUAC